This 73-nucleotide transfer RNA is filed under the name Felis catus (domestic cat). It matches the Rfam family "tRNA". From Rfam's summary of the family: Transfer RNA (tRNA) molecules are approximately 80 nucleotides in length. Their secondary structure includes four short double-helical elements and three loops (D, anti-codon, and T loops). Further hydrogen bonds mediate the characteristic L-shaped molecular structure. tRNAs have two regions of fundamental functional importance: the anti-codon, which is responsible for specific mRNA codon recognition, and the 3' end, to which the tRNAs corresponding amino acid is attached (by aminoacyl-tRNA synthetases). tRNAs cope with the degeneracy of the genetic code in two manners: having more than one tRNA (with a specific anti-codon) for a particular amino acid; and 'wobble' base-pairing, i.e. permitting non-standard base-pairing at the 3rd anti-codon position. Lineage: Eukaryota; Metazoa; Chordata; Mammalia; Carnivora; Felidae. RNAcentral also lists the same sequence under 4 other names. The record is from Rfam by way of RNAcentral.
GCCUGACUGGCUCAUUCGGAAGAGCAUGUAACUCUUGAUCUCAGGGCUGUGGGUUCGAGCCCCACAUUGGGUG